This 85-nucleotide transfer RNA is filed under the name Dehalococcoidia bacterium CG2_30_46_19. RNAcentral's name for it is "tRNA-Tyr". It matches the Rfam family "tRNA". Rfam says of the family: Transfer RNA (tRNA) molecules are approximately 80 nucleotides in length. Lineage: Bacteria; Bacillati; Chloroflexota; Dehalococcoidia. RNAcentral also lists the same sequence under 2 other names. The record is from RNAcentral.
GGCGGGGUGCCGGAGUGGUUAAUCGGAGCAGUCUGUAAAAUUGCCGCCCGUAAGGGCUACGUAGGUUCAAAUCCUACCCCCGCCA